Molecule: small nucleolar RNA, 136 nt
Organism: Meriones unguiculatus (Mongolian gerbil)
Lineage: Eukaryota; Metazoa; Chordata; Mammalia; Rodentia; Muridae
Source: Ensembl
GCUACCCCUAGAAGCGUUGCACAUGUGGCUGCUGGGUCCCAUGUGUGUCAGAAGAAGGCAGAGAGGAAAGAAGCUAUGUCUAUGCACAGUGCUCUGACCUAUGUUCAUAGGUCUGAAUGACUACUAGGCUAACAUU